Molecule: ribosomal RNA, 355 nt
Filed under: uncultured bacterium
Lineage: Bacteria
Description: bacterial SSU rRNA
Rfam family: Bacterial small subunit ribosomal RNA
Source: RNAcentral
GGGCCCGCACAAGCGGUGGAGUAUGUGGUUUAAUUCGAUGCAACGCGAAGAACCUUACCAGGGUUUGACAUCCUGCGAAUCUCUUGGAAACGAGAGAGUGCCUUCGGGAGCGCAGUGACAGGUGGUGCAUGGCUGUCGUCAGCUCGUGUCGUGAGAUGUUGGGUUAAGUCCCGCAACGAGCGCAACCCACGUCUUUAGUUGCCAGCACAUAAUGGUGGGCACUCUAAGGAGACUGCCGGUGACAAACCGGAGGAAGGCGGGGACGAUGUCAAGUCAUCAUGGCCCUUACGAGUAGGGCUACACACGUGCUACAAUGGCAGGUACAGAGGGCAGCGAAACGGCGACGUGGAGCGAA